AUAAAACCCAUUUCUUCCUGUAAAAAAAAAAAAAAAAAAAAAAAAAAAAAAAAAAAAAAAAAAAAAAAAAAAAAACAAGAAAGAAAGAAAAGAAA
Molecule: long non-coding RNA, 95 nt
Organism: Symphalangus syndactylus (siamang)
Lineage: Eukaryota; Metazoa; Chordata; Mammalia; Primates; Hylobatidae
Source: RefSeq, a predicted model, not a curated record